GUAUGAGCACUAUACAGAAUACAGCAAGUGCUUGGAAAACACAUUGGUUGAAUUGCUUGGAAAGGAAAUGGCAACAAGCAUUGUCUUCAAGCACGCGAAUGAUGGUUCUGGCAUUGGCGCUGCACUCCUCGCGGCCUCCAACUCUGUGUAUGUUGAAGACAAGUGAGAGUGAUCAAAAUGAUAUUUAGCUAGAGGAAACUCCAUUUACCUUUU
This 213-nucleotide unclassified non-coding RNA is filed under the name Hevea brasiliensis (rubber tree). The record is from RNAcentral. Lineage: Eukaryota; Viridiplantae; Streptophyta; Magnoliopsida; Malpighiales; Euphorbiaceae.